UCUCCCUCAUGCUAGCGCCAAAUGGUAUGUUUAUUUUUUCUAGUUCUUUCUAAAAUCAUGAUCUACCAAUUAACAAUAUUUAUUUAGAUAUCAAUUGCUGUUUCUUGUUUUUUUACAUAUGUUUGUUUUCCAUUCAUGUAUAUAGAGAAAUCACCUUGUGAAACCACCUUUAAAAAAUGUCUUUCACACUCCAAACCUUUUUGACAAUAAUAGGAAACAAGGGGCAGAUAUACAUCUAGGCUUGACAUGCUAGCUUCAUCUAUCUUUUAGUUAGCAAGAGUGUUGAACUUUGGGAGGAAUGAAGAAAAAUACAUGAAGGUAAAUAACAAAUGCAUGAAAACCUUUAAUAAGCUAUCCACCACUAUACACUCAUAAAAUCCAACUUCUAAACUGAGCACGAUCAUGGGCAUAGAUAAUAUAUAGAUUACAAAAAAUUGCUCAGCAGGCACCAGGUAAACUAAUUAAACAUAAUCUAUAAAGGAUCGUGCUGUGCAUUCUUAAUUCAUUUAUUGCAAAUGCGUCAGCAGUCUUGUUUUUUUUUUGCACAGAAAUUCUGUUGCUUAACGGUAGAUUAUUUUUUGUUAAUACUACACGCGCCCCAUGCUGAUCCUACAAGAUCUCAUAUUCUUAAUUUCUUAUUAUGAAGUACCAAAAGAGGCACAUGACACGAGACGACUAUUGAUUCCCCAUAUUAGCAGCUCUGUUAUAAUAAAAAAUGGAAAUAACUAAGGCCUUGAUUAGAUACACCCAAAAACCCAAAACUUUACAAGAUUCUCCGUCACAUUGAAUAUUACGGCACAUGCAUGAAGUAUUAAAUAUAGAUAAAAAUAAUAACUAAUUGCACAGUUUACCUGUAAAUCACGAGACGAAUCUUUUAAGCCUAAUU
Molecule: long non-coding RNA, 886 nt
Filed under: Sorghum bicolor (sorghum)
Lineage: Eukaryota; Viridiplantae; Streptophyta; Magnoliopsida; Poales; Poaceae
Description: long non-coding RNA (SBIC_LNC001981)
Source: RNAcentral